This 76-nucleotide transfer RNA is filed under the name Parcubacteria group bacterium. RNAcentral describes it as "tRNA-Val". It matches the Rfam family "tRNA". From Rfam's summary of the family: Transfer RNA (tRNA) molecules are approximately 80 nucleotides in length. Their secondary structure includes four short double-helical elements and three loops (D, anti-codon, and T loops). RNAcentral also lists the same sequence under 1 other name. The record is from RNAcentral.
GAGCGCGUAGCUCAGUUGGCAGAGCGUUUGCUCGACACGCAAAAGGUCAGAGGUUCGAAUCCUCUCGUGCUCACCA